RNAcentral lists this ribosomal RNA (260 nucleotides) under uncultured bacterium. Its description in RNAcentral is "partial small subunit ribosomal RNA". It matches the Rfam family "Bacterial small subunit ribosomal RNA", at positions 26 to 285 of the family's 1533-position model. The record is from RNAcentral.
AGAAUCAACGCUGGCGGCGUGCCUAACACAUGCAAGUCGAACGGGAAAGUCGAGCAAUCCAUGAGUAUAGUGGCGACCGGGUGAGUAACACGUGACUAACCUACCCUUGAGUGGGGGAUAACCUCGGGAAACCGGGGCUAAUACCGCAUAAAAUCUUCGGGAUGAGAAGCUGGAGAUCAAAGGAGCAAUUCGCUUUUGGAGGGGGUCGCGGCUGAUUAGCUAGUUGGCGGGGUAACGGCCCACCAAGGCUUUGAUCGGUA